Molecule: ribosomal RNA, 253 nt
Filed under: uncultured bacterium
Lineage: Bacteria
Description: partial 16S ribosomal RNA
Rfam family: Bacterial small subunit ribosomal RNA
Source: RNAcentral
GACAGAGGGUGCAAGCGUUGUUCGGAAUUAUUGGGCGUAAAGGGCGCGUAGGUGGCCAAGUAAGUCAGAUGUGAAAGCCCAGGGCUUAACCCUGGAAGUGCAUCUGAUACUGCAUGGCUUGAGUCCCGGAGAGGGUCGUGGAAUUCCCAGUGUAGAGGUGAAAUUCGUAGAGAUUGGGAGGAACACCAGUGGCGAAGGCGGCGACCUGGACGGAGACUGACGCUGAGGCGCGAAAGCGUGGGGAGCAAACAGG